UCCAGACUCCUACGGGAGGCAGCAGUGGGGGAUAUUGCACAAUGGGGGGAACCCUGAUGCAGCGACGCCGCGUGGGUGAAGGAGUGCUUCGGCAUGUAAAGCCCUAUCGGCAGGGAAGAAGCAAGACGGUACCUGACUAAGAAGCCCCGGCUAACUACGUGCCAGCAGCCGCGGGAAUACGUAGGGGGCAAGCGUUAUCCGGAUUUACUGGGUGUAAAGGGAGCGUAGACGGCAGUGCAAGUCUGAAGUGAAAGGCGGGGGCCCAACCCCCGAACUGCUUUGGAAACUGUGCUGCUGGAGUGCAGGAGAGGCAAGUGGAAUUCCUAGUGUAGCGGUGAAAUGCGUAGAUAUUAGGAGGAACACCAGUGGCGAAGGCGGCUUGCUGGACUGUAACUGACGUUGAGGCUCGAAAGCGUGGGGAGCAACCAGGAUUAGAUGCCCCCGUAAU
This 448-nucleotide ribosomal RNA is filed under the name uncultured bacterium. RNAcentral's name for it is "bacterial SSU rRNA". It matches the Rfam family "Bacterial small subunit ribosomal RNA", at positions 330 to 794 of the family's 1533-position model. The record is from RNAcentral.